GAUAUAUGUAUGUAUGGAAGCGAUGUUUCUCCUCUAAGGAGAACUGAAAAUAAAGAAAGCCAAUGUCAGGAAUAUAGACAGGAGGGGAUAUAGAGAAAUUAAAGUGUCCUGGUUAUGUGACUGGGAUAUCCAUUGAACAGGUGAGGGCUCUUCUUCCUGUCCACAUCAAUGUGUCAGUUAUUUGCUGUUUUACAUCCCCGUUGUACAGCACCACACACUACGUUGGUGCUAUAGAAAUUAUAAUACCCAUAUGAAUGGUUACAACUGAGCCCUGAAAUACGUAUAUGAUGCAUUUCUUCUCUAGUAACACAAGGUGUCGCUGUUGUAUUGGGUUUUGUAAAAGACUAAUGCAAAUGCAAUAAUCAAGAUUCGUCAUAUUAUAAAGUUAUAGGAAAACAGUCGCUUUUUAAAUUAUUUUGUGAUCAGGACUACCACCAGAACUCUUGGGCCCCCUUGCAAAACUAUUGGCAGGUCCCCCAAUGCGCGUGAGCAGACACAAACAAACCCUUAUACAGAUACACAGGUGCACACAGCCAUACACAGAUACACAGAUUUACACACUAUCAUACAUAUACACACAAAUACAUAACCAUACACACACUACCAAACACAUGCAUACUGCUACGCAUAAAUAGAGUACUUACACAGAUACACACAUUCACACAUAUACUUACAUACUCACACUGCCACAUAUAUACACACAUGCACAAACAUAUGUACAUACUAACACACACAUAUACAGAUAGAUACAUAUACGCAUACACACAAAUGCACAAGCAUACAAACACUGACACACACAGUUACACAAUGCCACACACAUGCAUGUUGACAGACACACACUGCCAUACACAUGGUCUUAGUGAAUACUGAUGGCUGUCCUCCUUGAGAUACAUUUUUUUUUUUACCUCAUUACAUUUAUUAGCUAAA
Molecule: non-coding RNA, 927 nt
Organism: Pelobates cultripes (western spadefoot toad)
Lineage: Eukaryota; Metazoa; Chordata; Amphibia; Anura; Pelobatidae
Source: the annotation of a GenBank genome assembly